RNAcentral lists this ribosomal RNA (442 nucleotides) under uncultured bacterium. RNAcentral's name for it is "partial 16S ribosomal RNA". It matches the Rfam family "Bacterial small subunit ribosomal RNA", at positions 338 to 795 of the family's 1533-position model. The record is from RNAcentral.
CCUACGGGUGGCAGCAGUGGAGGAUAUUUGACAAUGGGGGGAACCCUGAUCCAGCGACGCCGCGUGAGUGAAUGAAUAUCUCGGUAUGUAAAGCUCUAUCAGCAGGGAAGAAGAAAUGACGGUACCUGAGUCAGAAGCACCAGCUAACUACGUGCCAGCAGCCGCGGUAAUACGUAGGGGGCAAGCGUUAUCCGGAAGUACUGGGUGUAAAGGGAGCGUGGGCGGUGAUGUAAGUCUGGAGUGAAAGGCGGGGGCCCAACCCCCGGACUGCACUGGAAACUAUGUGACUGGAGUGCAGGAGAGGGGAGCGGAAUUCCUGGUGUAGCAGUGAAAUGCGUAGAUAUUAGGAGGAACACCAGUGGCGAAGGCAGCUCACUGGACUGUAACUGACGUUGAGGCUCGAAAGCGUGGGGAGCAAACAGGAUUAGAUACCCGAGUAGUC